RNAcentral lists this non-coding RNA (777 nucleotides) under Urolabida histrionica. The record is from RNAcentral. Lineage: Eukaryota; Metazoa; Arthropoda; Insecta; Hemiptera; Urostylididae.
UAAGAAUUUAAUUCUGGUUCAUAAAAUGACUUAGUCAUGGUUUUACAUGUGAAUUUUUGUAGGUUAUAGUAUAAAUCUAAAAGAUUGUAUUAGUAUUUGUAAUCGCAGUUUUUAAUUUUAAAAAUUUAAUUAAUGUUAGAAUUAUUUAUUGAUUAUUUAAUUAGCUAAUAGCGUGCCAGCAGCUGCGGUUAUACGCUUAAUUAAAGUUAUUUUGAUUUAAUUGUAAUUUUAUUGAUCCUUUUGAAUAAAGAUUAUCUUCUUUUGAAGUGAAAUUUAAAUUUUAUUUAUUGUUUUGGUUUUAAAUUUUACGAAAUUUUUGGUAUAAACUAGGAUUAGAUACCCUAUUAUUUUAAAUGUAAAUUAAUGUUAGUAUUAAUAGUUAUGAUCUUUAAAUUAAAAGGAUUUGACGGUGAUUUAAUCUGUUCAGAGGAGCCUGUAUCUUAAUUCGAUAAUCCACGUUAAAUUUAACCUUGAAAAUUAGAAUAGUUUGUAUAUCUCUGUCUUUAGAAUGUUUUUUAAAAUUUAUUUUCGUUUAUUAUUAUAAAUACAUGUCAGGUCAAGGUGCAGCUUUUUGAGGGGAUAAUGGGCUACACUAACUCUAUAAUUUUGGAUAGUGAGUUGUAUUACUUGUUUUAAAAUGGAUUUGGGUGUAAAGAUUAUUAUAUAUUAGUAUUGAUAUUUGCUCUGAGUUAAGUACAUAUCGCCCGUCGCUCUUAUUAUUAAGAUAAGAUAAGUCGUAACAAAGUAGGCUUACCGGAAGGUUAGCCUGGAAUUAUU